CCUACGGGUGGCAGCAGUGAGGAAUAUUGGUCAAUGGAUGAGAAUCUGAACCAGCCAAGUAGCGUGCAGGAUGACGGCCUAUGGGUUGUAAACUGCUUUUAUACGGGAAUAGGUACCGUAUGAAUAAGGACCGGCUAAUUCCGUGCCAGCAGCCGCGGUAAUACGGAAGGUCCGGGCGUUAUCCGGAUUUAUUGGGUUUAAAGGGAGCGUAGGCCGGCGCUUAAGCGUGCCGUGAAAUGUCCCGGCUCAACCGGGGCACUGCGGCGCGAACUGGGUGCCUUGAGUGCGCGGAACGUAUGCGGAAUUCGUGGUGUAGCGGUGAAAUGCUUAGAUAUCACGAAGAACUCCGAUUGCGAAGGCAGCAUACGGCAGCGCACUGACGCUGAAGCUCGAAGGUGCGGGUAUCGAACAGGAUUAGAUACCCUUGUAGUC
RNAcentral lists this ribosomal RNA (432 nucleotides) under uncultured bacterium. RNAcentral describes it as "partial 16S ribosomal RNA". It matches the Rfam family "Bacterial small subunit ribosomal RNA", at positions 338 to 795 of the family's 1533-position model. The record is from RNAcentral.